UUUUGUGGCCAAACCUUGUCAAAGCCUGAUCUCAUCGGAUCUCAGAAGCUAAGUAAGGCUUGGCCUAUUUAGCACUUGGAUAAAAGACUACUGGGAAUAUCAGGUGCCACAGUGG
Molecule: ribosomal RNA, 115 nt
Filed under: Periophthalmus magnuspinnatus
Lineage: Eukaryota; Metazoa; Chordata; Actinopteri; Gobiiformes; Gobiidae
Source: RNAcentral